Molecule: ribosomal RNA, 58 nt
Filed under: Parapiptadenia rigida
Lineage: Eukaryota; Viridiplantae; Streptophyta; Magnoliopsida; Fabales; Fabaceae
Also listed under: 1 other name
Description: partial 26S ribosomal RNA
Source: RNAcentral
GCGACCCCAGGUCAGGCGGGGCUACCCGCUGAGUUUAAGCAUAUCAAUAAGCGGGAGA